UGCUGCUACUGCUACCAGUGUUGGUUGCUGUAGAAUUUUCAAACGAGAACGCAUCAUACACCUUGGUGUUCAAAAUUCACGAGAAAAUAGGCAAGAAAAGCAACUGUAAUGAGUUCCGUGGGAUAAAAA
RNAcentral lists this long non-coding RNA (129 nucleotides) under Polistes fuscatus (common paper wasp). RNAcentral describes it as "uncharacterized LOC122523529". The record is from RNAcentral. Lineage: Eukaryota; Metazoa; Arthropoda; Insecta; Hymenoptera; Vespidae.